GCGGAUGGGUGAGUAACGCGUGAGUGACCUGCCCAGCAGUGGGGAAUAACAGUGAGAAAUCAUUGCUAAUACCGCAUAGCUUACAAGUGCUCCAUGGUACCUGUAAGAAAGACGGCCUUCGUGCUGUCGCUGUUGGAUGGACUCGCGUCUGAUUAGCCAGUUGGUGGGGUAACGGCCUACCAAAGCAAUGAUCAGUAGCCGGCCUGAGAGGGUGAACGGCCACAUUGGGACUGAGACACGGCCCAAACUCC
This 251-nucleotide ribosomal RNA is filed under the name uncultured bacterium. RNAcentral's name for it is "partial 16S ribosomal RNA". It matches the Rfam family "Bacterial small subunit ribosomal RNA", at positions 98 to 339 of the family's 1533-position model. The record is from RNAcentral.